GGACCAGACUUUGAUUCUGGCUCAGGAUGAACGCUAGCUACAGGCUUAACACAUGCAAGUCGAGGGGAAACGACAUCGAAAGCUUGCUUUUGAUGGGCGUCGACCGGCGCACGGGUGAGUAACGCGUAUCCAACCUGCCCACCACUUGGGGAUAACCUUGCGAAAGUAAGACUAAUACCCAAUGAUAUCUCUAGAAGACAUCUGAAAGAGAUUAAAGAUUUAUCGGUGAUGGAUGGGGAUGCGUCUGAUUAGCUUGUUGGCGGGGUAACGGCCCACCAAGGCAACGAUCAGUAGGGGUUCUGAGAGGAAGGUCCCCCACAUUGGAACUGAGACACGGUCCAAACUCCUACGGGAGGCAGCAGUGAGGAAUAUUGGUCAAUGGACGAGAGUCUGAACCAGCCAAGUAGCGUGCAGGAUGACGGCCCUAUGGGUUGUAAACUGCUUUUAUAAGGGAAUAAAGUGAGUCUCGUGAGACUUUUUGCAUGUACCUUAUGAAUAAGGACCGGCUAAUUCCGUGCCAGCAGCCGCGGUAAUACGGAAGGUCCGGGCGUUAUCCGGAUUUAUUGGGUUUAAAGGGUGCGUAGGCCGGAGAUUAAGCGUGUUGUGAAAUGUAGACGCUCAACGUCUGCACUGCAGCGCGAACUGGUUUCCUUGAGUACGCACAAAGUGGGCGGAAUUCGUGGUGUAGCGGUGAAAUGCUUAGAUAUCACGAAGAACUCCGAUUGCGAAGGCAGCUCACUGGAGCGCAACUGACGCUGAAGCUCGAAAGUGCGGGUAUCGAACAGGAUUAGAUACCCUGGUAGUCCGCACGGUAAACGAUGGAUGCCCGCUGUUGGUCUGAAUAGGUCAGCGGCCAAGCGAAAGCAUUAAGCAUCCCACCUGGGGAGUACGCCGGCAACGGUGCAACUCAAAUGAAUUGACGG
This 923-nucleotide ribosomal RNA is filed under the name uncultured Bacteroidota bacterium. Its description in RNAcentral is "bacterial SSU rRNA". It matches the Rfam family "Bacterial small subunit ribosomal RNA", at positions 1 to 916 of the family's 1533-position model. The record is from RNAcentral. Lineage: Bacteria; Pseudomonadati; Bacteroidota.